CCAGUCGGCUGGGCGGCCGCUCGCGCAAGUGCCGAAAGGCCGCGCGGGAGGAAAGUCCGGGCUCCACGGAGAAACGGUGCCGGAUAACGUCCGGCGGGGGCGACCCUAGGGAAAGUGCCACAGAGAACAGACCGCCCCGCCCGCCGGCCCACAAGCGCCGGCAUCGUCGCGGGGUAAGGGUGAAACGGUGGGGUAAGAGCCCACCGCGCCUUCGGCAACGCGGGCGGCAGGGCAAACCCCACCGGGAGCAAGACCGAAUAGGGACGACGCGGCGGCAACGCCGCCCUUCUCCGGGGAUCGUCGUCGUCCGGGUGGGUUGCUAGAGGCGUCGCGCGAGCGGCGUCCCAGAGGAAUGGUCGCCGGGCGGCGAAAGUCGCUCACAGAACCCGGCUUACAGGCCGGCUGGCACU
This 410-nucleotide RNase P RNA is filed under the name Antarcticirhabdus aurantiaca. RNAcentral describes it as "RNase P RNA component class A". It matches the Rfam family "Bacterial RNase P class A". From Rfam's summary of the family: Ribonuclease P (RNase P) is a ubiquitous endoribonuclease, found in archaea, bacteria and eukarya as well as chloroplasts and mitochondria. The record is from RNAcentral. Lineage: Bacteria; Pseudomonadati; Pseudomonadota; Alphaproteobacteria; Hyphomicrobiales; Aurantimonadaceae.